CAAUAGCGUAUAUUAAAGUUGUUGCAGUUAAAAGCUCGUAGUUGGAUUUCUGGUGGGAGUGUUUGGCUGGCUCAAUGAGUCUUGUGCCUAUAUGCUUCUGCCAUCCUUGGGGAAACUUGCUUGGCAUUAGGUUGUCGAGUUUGGGAUCCCAUCGUUUACUGUGAAAAAUUAGAGUGUUCAAAGCAGGCUUAUGCCGUUGAAUACAUUAGCAUGGAAUAAUAAGAUAGGACCUUGGUACUAUUUUGUUGGUUUGCGUACCUAGGUAAUGAUUAAUAGGGACAGUUGGGGGUAUUCGUAUUCAAUUGUCAGAGGUGAAAUUCUUGGAUUGCGUUACGACGAACUACUGCGAAAGCAUUUGCCAAGGAUGUUUUCAUUGAUCAAGAACGAAAGUAUGGGGAUCGAAGACGAUUAGAU
This 414-nucleotide ribosomal RNA is filed under the name uncultured eukaryote. Its description in RNAcentral is "bacterial SSU rRNA". It matches the Rfam family "Eukaryotic small subunit ribosomal RNA", at positions 592 to 1013 of the family's 1831-position model. The record is from RNAcentral.